This 442-nucleotide ribosomal RNA is filed under the name uncultured bacterium. Its description in RNAcentral is "partial 16S ribosomal RNA". It matches the Rfam family "Bacterial small subunit ribosomal RNA", at positions 338 to 795 of the family's 1533-position model. The record is from RNAcentral.
CCUACGGGUGGCAGCAGUGGGGAAUAUUGGGCAAUGGACGCAAGUCUGACCCAGCAACGCCGCGUGAAGGAAGGAGGCUUUCCGGUUGUAAACUUCUUUUAAGGGGGAAGAGCAGAAGACGGUACCCCUUGCAUAAGCCACGGCUAACUACGUGCCAGCAGGCGCGGUCAUACGUAGGUGGCAAGCGUUGUCCGGAUUUACUGGGUGUAAAGGGCGUGCAGCCGGAGAGGUAAGUCAGAUGUGAAAGCCACGGGCUCAACCCGUGAACUGCAUUUGAAACUGUUUCACUUGAGUGUCGGAGAGGGAAUCGGAAUUCCGUGUGUAGCAGUGAAAUGCGUAGAUAUAGGGAAGAACACCAGUGGCGAAGGCGGGUUACUGGACGAUAACUGACGGUGAGGCGCGAAGGCGUGGGGAGCGAACGGGAUUAGAUACCCUGGUAGUC